GCUUGCAUUGGCAGAGUAUAUACUAAAAUUGAAACGAUACAGAGAAGAUUAGCAUAGUCCCUUUGUAAGGAAGGCAUUCAAAUUUCUGAAGUGUCAUUCAUUCAU
This is a small nuclear RNA of Protobothrops mucrosquamatus (brown spotted pit viper), 105 nucleotides long. The record is from RefSeq and is a predicted model, not a curated record. NCBI's taxonomy places the organism in Eukaryota, Metazoa, Chordata, Lepidosauria, Squamata, Viperidae.